ACGCUGGCGGCAGGCCUAACACAUGCAAGUCGAGCGGUAGAGAGAAGCUUGCUUCUCUUGAGAGCGGCGGACGGGUGAGUAAUGCCUAGGAAUCUGCCUGGUAGUGGGGGAUAACGUUCGGAAACGGACGCUAAUACCGCAUACGUCCUACGGGAGAAAGCAGGGGACCUUCGGGCCUUGCGCUAUCAGAUGAGCCUAGGUCGGAUUAGCUAGUUGGUGGGGUAAUGGCUCACCAAGGCGACGAUCCGUAACUGGUCUGAGAGGAUGAUCAGUCGCACUGGAACUGAGACACGGUCCAGACUCCUACGGGAGGCAGCAGUGGGGAAUAUUGGACAAUGGGCGAAAGCCUGAUCCAGCCAUGCCGCGUGUGUGAAGAAGGUCUUCGGAUUGUAAAGCACUUUAAGUUGGGAGGAAGGGUUGUAGAUUAAUACUCUGCAAUUUUGACGUUACCGACAGAAUAAGCACCGGCUAACUCUGUGCCAGCAGCCGCGGUAAUACAGAGGGUGCAAGCGUUAAUCGGAAUUACUGGGCGUAAAGCGCGCGUAGGUGGUUUGUUAAGUUGGAUGUGAAAUCCCCGGGCUCAACCUGGGAACUGCAUUCAAAACUGACUGACUAGAGUAUGGUAGAGGGUGGUGGAAUCUCCUGUGUAGCGGUGAAAUGCGUAGAUAUAGGAAGGAACACCAGUGGCGAAGGCGACCACCUGGACUAAUACUGACACUGAGGUGCGAAAGCGUGGGGAGCAAACAGGAUUAGAUACCCUGGUAGUCC
This 768-nucleotide ribosomal RNA is filed under the name uncultured bacterium. RNAcentral's name for it is "bacterial SSU rRNA". It matches the Rfam family "Bacterial small subunit ribosomal RNA", at positions 33 to 796 of the family's 1533-position model. The record is from RNAcentral.